RNAcentral lists this transfer RNA (28 nucleotides) under Morinda citrifolia (Indian mulberry). Its description in RNAcentral is "partial tRNA-His". The record is from RNAcentral. Lineage: Eukaryota; Viridiplantae; Streptophyta; Magnoliopsida; Gentianales; Rubiaceae.
CGGAUGUGGCCAAGUGGAUUAAGGCAGU